UUGAAGCAUCUUAGUCAGCGAAGGA
Molecule: ribosomal RNA, 25 nt
Filed under: Xylaria sp. NR-2006-D65
Lineage: Eukaryota; Fungi; Ascomycota; Sordariomycetes; Xylariales; Xylariaceae
Description: partial 28S ribosomal RNA
Source: RNAcentral